This 682-nucleotide unclassified non-coding RNA is filed under the name Hevea brasiliensis (rubber tree). Lineage: Eukaryota; Viridiplantae; Streptophyta; Magnoliopsida; Malpighiales; Euphorbiaceae. The record is from RNAcentral.
GAUUCGAGGUCAAUUAGGUUAAAAUGUUCCAAACCUUGGAAAAGAGAAGUUUGCUUUAAGUUCUUACUACUUCAAAUCCCACAAAAUGAUAGAUAGAUCAUUGUAAAAAGUUUCCCUGCGUUAUAGUCGUGCAUUUCUUGUAGUUAAUAGUAUUACAGAUUUCCACUAAAGGGAAUGUCCAUAAUUCCACAUUGUAAAAUUUUUUUUCCUGUUUGGUCAAUGAACAGUAUCACUGAAAGAAAAAUCUGAAUUACAAAAAUCCUGAUACGCUUGGAAUAAAAUGACUCAUCUAACAGAAAAUCCUGAAGAUUUCGGAAACUGAACACCUCAAGUUUACAUCAUCUAGCUAGCACGGAAGCCAGCAUAAAUUUAUUUAUCUGAAUAUAAAAUACAGUUCUGUUUACUUUAACUCCUGCAUGGAGCUAGAUAUCUAGCUGCAAUGAAUGACAUUUUUAUCCUAUUACUUUUGGCGAUUGCGAUAAUAGAGAAGGUCAAGGAUUUUGAAGGGUAGCGCUAGCAGUGCCUUGCAGGUUGCGGUGCUAGAUUUAUGAUCAACCAUCCCAGGCCGCCAGCUGAGAACUAUUAAUUGAAAUCUGACAGUCUCAGUGGUGGAUGCAAAUUGAUGAGGGAUCGUUAUCUAUAAUAAAUUCUGUUAACAAUUACCUGCUCCAGUACUGCAGAC